This 254-nucleotide ribosomal RNA is filed under the name uncultured bacterium. RNAcentral's name for it is "partial 16S ribosomal RNA". It matches the Rfam family "Bacterial small subunit ribosomal RNA", at positions 524 to 776 of the family's 1533-position model. The record is from RNAcentral.
UACGUAGGUGGCAAGCGUUGUCCGGAUUUACUGGGCGUAAAGAGCGCGCAGGCGGUCGUUCAAGUCGCGUGUGAAAGCCCCCGGCUCAACUGGGGAGGGUCACGCGAUACUGAUCGACUCGAAGGCAGGAGAGGGUAGUGGAAUUCCCGGUGUAGUGGUGAAGUGCGUAGAUAUCGGGAGGAACACCAGUGGCGAAGGCGACUACCUGGCCUGUUUCUUGACGCUGAGGCGCGAAAGCUAGGGGAGCAAACGGG